GGGUCAGUAGGUUGGUCGUGCCACCGGUACGUACUGGUCUCACUGAUUCCUCCUUCCUGAAGAACCGUAAUGCCAUUAAUUUGGUGUUGCGGGGAAACAGGACUGUUACUUUGAAAAAAUUAGGGUGUUUAAAGCCAGCUAACGCUUGAAUACAUUAGCAUGGAAUAAUGAAAUAGGACGAUCGAUCCUAUUUUGUUGGUUUCUAGGAUUGACGUA
RNAcentral lists this ribosomal RNA (216 nucleotides) under Glomeromycotina sp. RNAcentral describes it as "partial small subunit ribosomal RNA". The stretch from base 40 to 216 matches the Rfam family "Eukaryotic small subunit ribosomal RNA", at positions 686 to 864 of the family's 1831-position model. Lineage: Eukaryota; Fungi; Glomeromycota. The record is from RNAcentral.